This 1403-nucleotide ribosomal RNA is filed under the name uncultured bacterium. RNAcentral describes it as "16S ribosomal RNA". It matches the Rfam family "Bacterial small subunit ribosomal RNA". The record is from RNAcentral.
AGAGUUUGAUCCUGGCUCAGGAUGAACGCUAGCGACAGGCUUAACACAUGCAAGUCGAGGGGCAGCGGAGGCAGUAGCAAUACUGCCUGCCGGCGACCGGCGCACGGGUGAGUAACACGUAUGCAACCUACCCUUGUCAGGGGGAUAAGCCGGAGAAAUCCGGUCUAAUACCGCGUGACAUCGGGAUUCCGCAUGGGAUUCCGAUCAAAGGAAUUAUCCGGACAAGGAUGGGCAUGCGGCGCAUUAGCUUGUUGGCGGGGUAACGGCCCACCUAACCGACGAUGCGUAGGGGUUCUGAGAGGAAGGUCCCCCACACUGGUACUGAGACACGGGCCAGACUCCUACGGGAGGCAGCAGUGAGGAAUAUUGGUCAAUGGUCGGGAGACUGAACCAGCCAAGCCGCGUGAGGGAGGAAGGUACAGAGUAUCGUAAACCUCUUUUGUCAGGGAACAAAGGCGGGGACGUGUCCCCGGAUGAGUGUACCUGAAGAAAAAGCAUCGGCUAACUCCGUGCCAGCAGCCGCGGUAAUACGGAGGAUGCGAGCGUUAUCCGGAUUUAUUGGGUUUAAAGGGUGCGCAGGCGGUCUGUUAAGUCAGCGGUCAAAGCCCGGGGCUCAACCCCGGCCCGCCGUUGAAACUGGCAGUCUCGAGUUGGAGAGAAGUAUGCGGAAUGCGCGGUGUAGCGGUGAAAUGCAUAGAUAUCGCGCAGAACUCCGAUUGCGAAGGCAGCAUGCCGGCUCCACACUGACGCUGAGGCACGAAAGCGUGGGUAUCGAACAGGAUUAGAUACCCUGGUAGUCCACGCAGUAAACGAUGAAUGCUGGCUGUCCGGGGGGAUUGACCCCUGGGUGGCGAAGCGAAAGCGAUAAGCAUUCCACCUGGGGAGUACGCCGGCAACGGUGAAACUCAAAGGAAUUGACGGGGGCCCGCACAAGCGGAGGAACAUGUGGUUUAAUUCGAUGAUACGCGAGGAACCUUACCCGGGCUCAAACGGGGAGUGACUCAGGCAGAGACGCCUGUUUCCCACGGGACACUCCCCGAGGUGCUGCAUGGUUGUCGUCAGCUCGUGCCGUGAGGUGUCGGCUUAAGUGCCAUAACGAGCGCAACCCCCGCGUGCAGUUGCUAACAGAUAACGCUGAGGACUCUGCACGGACUGCCGGCGCAAGCCGCGAGGAAGGCGGGGAUGACGUCAAAUCAGCACGGCCCUUACGUCCGGGGCGACACACGUGUUACAAUGGGUGGUACAGCGGGAAGCCAGGCGGCGACGCCGAGCGGAACCCGAAAUCCACUCUCAGUUCGGAUCGGAGUCUGCAACCCGACUCCGUGAAGCUGGAUUCGCUAGUAAUCGCGCAUCAGCCAUGGCGCGGUGAAUACGUUCCCGGGCCUUGUACUCACCGCCCGUCA